AGUGAACGCUGGCGGUAGGCCUAACACAUGCAAGUCGAACGGCAGCACAGUAAGAGCUUGCUCUUACGGGUGGCGAGUGGCGGACGGGUGAGGAAUACAUCGGAAUCUACUUUUUCGUGGGGAAUAACGUAGGGAAACUUACGCUAAUACCGCAUACGACCUACGGGUGAAAGCAGGGGAUCUUCGGACCUUGCGCGAUUGAAUGAGCCGAUGUCGGAUUAGCUAGUUGGCGGGGUAAAGGCCCACCCAGGCGACGAUCCGUAGCUGGUCUGAGAGGCUGAUCAGCCACACUGGAACUGAGACACGGUCCAGACUCCUACGGGAGGCAGCAGUGGGGAAUAUUGGACAAUGGGCGCAAGCCUGAUCCAGCCAUACCGCGUGGGUGAAGAAGGCCUUCGGGUUGGAAAGCCCUUUUGUUGGGAAAGAAAAGCAGCAGGUUAAUACCCCGCUGUUCUGACGGUACCCAAAGAAUAAGCACCGGCUAACUUCGUG
Molecule: ribosomal RNA, 492 nt
Filed under: uncultured bacterium
Lineage: Bacteria
Description: partial 16S ribosomal RNA
Rfam family: Bacterial small subunit ribosomal RNA
Source: RNAcentral